RNAcentral lists this unclassified non-coding RNA (432 nucleotides) under Hevea brasiliensis (rubber tree). The record is from RNAcentral. Lineage: Eukaryota; Viridiplantae; Streptophyta; Magnoliopsida; Malpighiales; Euphorbiaceae.
CUUCCCCAGCCAAACACUAGAAUAUCAAAUAACCUACCCAUUUCUCAUCUGAGAGGGAAAAAAAUAUAUAUAAUGCAACUAACUUAUCAUACACAAAUUAAUAACCUACAUUUACAUUCGAGGAAAAAACCUCUGUAUGAUCAUAUCCAUAAUUUUAUAGUAAAUGUCGUGGUAAAUGCCCAGCAAAGAAAGGAAAAAUCACAACUGAGGCAAUGCUUCUGUUCUGGGUUCACAGAAUUUUUACCCUGCCUUGGAUGUGUGUGACCUUUUCCUUGUUAAAAACAUUAAAAACCGCGGGAAAAAUGACUUCUUUUUCUUCUUUUGAACCUUUACUUCCGGGGACAAUUCAGGUUCAGUGCUAGUUACAUGCGCAUGUGCUUUUGGACUGGACUCAUACUCGACUGAGGCAUCUGGUACCUUGUCAAAGUUCUU